RNAcentral lists this non-coding RNA (23 nucleotides) under Arabidopsis thaliana (thale cress). The record is from RNAcentral. Lineage: Eukaryota; Viridiplantae; Streptophyta; Magnoliopsida; Brassicales; Brassicaceae.
ACGAUGAUAUUCAUCCCGGGUAC